AGCUAGUAGGUUGGCUUAGAAGCAGCCAUCCUUUAAAGAGUGCGUAACAGCUCACUAGUCGAGGAUUCUCGCGCCGAAAAUGUAACGGGGCUAAAGCACAUCACCGAAGCCGCGGGACUUUCGUUUUAACGGAAGUCGGUAGGGGAGCGUUGCUAGCGCGUUGAAGUCAGACUGUGAGGUCUGGUGGAGUGCUGGGAAGUGAGAAUGCCGGCAUGAGUAGCGACAAUCCUGGUGAGAAUCCAGGACACCGAAAGUCCAAGGUUUCCUACGCAACGCUGAUCGACGUAGGGUAAGUCGGGCCUAAGCUGUAGCGCAAUAGCGAAAGCGAUGGACAACGGGUCAAAAUUCCCGUACCACCGUUAUUUCGUUUUAAAGUAAAGGGGGGACACGGACAGGUAGGCGGAGCGUGCCCAUCGGACAUGGCACGUUUUCUGUUGUAGGCCAAGCUAAGAUAGGCAAAUCCGUUUUAGCGUUAUGAGCUGAGGGCAGAGAAAACUUCAGGGCUUAUGCCCAGGGGAAUUCCGUUGAUCCUAUGCCGUCAAGAAAAGCCUCGUUACUAGAAAUAAUGGUGCCCGUACCGCAAACCGACACAGGUGUGCAGGGGUAAAUGUCCCCAGGUGAACGAGAUAACCCUCGUUAAGGAAUUCGACAACUUGACCGCGUAACUUCGGGAUAAGCGGUGCCCGUAGGGUGAAAUCUGCUUGCCAGAUGGAGCCUUGGCGGGCCUCAGUGAACAGGCUCAAGCGACUGUUUAUCAAAAACAUAGGUCUCUGCUAAGCUGAAAGGCGAUGUAUAGGGGCUGACGCCUGCCCAGUGCCGGAAGGUUAAGGGGAUUGGUUAUUUUGGUUUCGACCAAAAGAAGCUGAGAACCGAAGCCCCGGUGAACGGCGGCCGUAACUAUAACGGUCCUAAGGUAGCGAAAUCCCUUGUCGGGUAAGUUCCGACCCGCACGAAUGGCGUAACGACUUGAGCGUUGUCUCAACGAGGGGCUCGGUGAAAUUGCAUGGCCGGUAAAGAUGCCGGCUACCCGUGACAGGACAAAAAGACCCCGUGGAGCUUUACUGUAGUUUGGCAGUGGUUCGGGGUUGCGGAUGUGUAGGAUAGGCGGGAGACUUUGAAACUUCAGCGUCAGCUGGGGUGGAGUCGCCCUUGAAAUACCGCCCUUCUGUGAUCGUGAUCCUAACCCCAUUAAAAUUGGGGGACCCUGCCUGAUGGGCAGUUUGACUGGGGCGGUCGCCUCCUAAAGAGUAACGGAGG
This 1257-nucleotide ribosomal RNA is filed under the name marine metagenome. RNAcentral describes it as "bacterial LSU rRNA". It matches the Rfam family "Bacterial large subunit ribosomal RNA", at positions 1091 to 2306 of the family's 2925-position model. The record is from RNAcentral.